CUCAUUAAACUACUUUAUUGAGUUUCUUGGACAUCGUCUCAUCAAAUGAUAUACGACCAAGCUUGCUCCCGACCAAGCACGCUCAGAUUCCUUGGGAGCUCCUGCUAUCGGCAGCCGUCGAUGCAUCGGAUCCCUGAGACGAAGAACAAAAACAGCAUGCCACCUGACUGAUGACCCACCCACUGUCUACCCGGACCCAGGAGCUAGAAGGCCUUGAGAAAAAAGCCCGGGCAGGAUCCUGACGGGCGCAGAAUAUCAUCUUCGAUGCUUGUCCCACGGCCUGACUGAAUAAUAUUUAUAUAAUCAAUGGAAGGAAAAAAACAGUAGAACAUUGAAAUUGGCUUGUAGGCAAGACGGAAGAUGGUCAAAACCGGUCAGAAAUUGAUGCCCUAGACACGGUUGGAGAGCUCUUGUUGGCAGAAACCACCUGAAUGGUGAAUCGUGGUGCUGAAUGAUGGUCAGGUGACAUUAGCAACCUUGUGGUGAAACAAUGAACUGGAGCGGCACCGAACUGAAAAAGUUGAAAAACUUGGCAUACAUACUAUGAGACCCAUUUGAUGACUGAUAUAAGCAAAGUUCAGACUGAUUAUUGUGAUAGUUGAUAACUAAGAAUACCUAAUAUGCUUUUAUGGUGUGUGAAAUAGUAUACUUUUUAUAAUUUAUUAAUUAAAAGUUUAAUAAAUGUUUUACUUACCUAAA
This is a non-coding RNA of Plutella xylostella (diamondback moth), 699 nucleotides long. NCBI's taxonomy places the organism in Eukaryota, Metazoa, Arthropoda, Insecta, Lepidoptera, Plutellidae. The record is from RefSeq and is a predicted model, not a curated record.